This 347-nucleotide ribosomal RNA is filed under the name uncultured eukaryote. Its description in RNAcentral is "partial 18S ribosomal RNA". It matches the Rfam family "Eukaryotic small subunit ribosomal RNA", at positions 1470 to 1796 of the family's 1831-position model. The record is from RNAcentral.
CCCUUAGAUGUUCUGGGCCGCACGCGCGCUACACUGAUCGAUUCAACGAGUUUUGAAAUAAUUUUUAUAAUUUUUCAUAUCCUUUGUCGGAAGGCAUGGGUAAUCUUUUAAAUGUCGAUCGUGAUGGGGCUAGAUUCUUGCAAUUAUUAAUCUCCAACGAGGAAUUCCUAGUAAACGCAAGUCAUCAGCUUGCAUUGAUUACGUCCCUGCCCUUUGUACACACCGCCCGUCGCACCUACCGAUUGGAUGGUCCGGUGAAGCCUCGGGAUUGUGGCCAGUGCCUUUUUGGUUUUGGUUGCGAGAACUUGUCUAAACCUUAUCAUCUAGAGGAAGGUGAAGUCGUAACA